AAUUGGAGGGCAAGUCUGGUGCCAGCAGCCGCGGUAAUUCCAGCUCCAAUAGCGUAUAUUAAAGUUGUUGCAGUUAAAAAGCUCGUAGUUGAAUUUCGGGAUCAAUAUUUCGGUCAUGCCGUUGGUAUGCACUGUUAUCAUUGAUUUCUCACCUUCUAAAGAACCGUAAUGCCAUUAAUUUGGUGUUACGGGGAAUUAGGACUGUUACCUUGAAAAAAUUAGAGUGUUUAAAGCAGGCUCACGCUUGAAUACAUUAGCAUGGAAUAAUGAAAUAGGACAUCCGAUUCUAUUUUGUUGGUUUCUAGGAUCGAUGUAAUGAUUAAUAGGGAUAGUUGGGGGCAUUAGUAUUCAAUUGUCAGAGGUGAAAUUCUUGGAUUUAUUGAAGACUAACUACUGCGAAAGCAUUUGCCAAGGAUGUUUUCAUUAAUCAAGAACGAAAGUUAGGGGAUCGAAGGCGAUCAGAUACCGUCGUAGUCUUAACCAUAAACUAUGCCGACUAGGGAUCGGAUGAUGUUAAUUUUUUAAUGACUCAUUCGGCGCCUUACGGGAAACCAAAGUGU
This 560-nucleotide ribosomal RNA is filed under the name uncultured Glomus. RNAcentral describes it as "SSU rRNA". It matches the Rfam family "Eukaryotic small subunit ribosomal RNA", at positions 546 to 1106 of the family's 1831-position model. The record is from RNAcentral. Lineage: Eukaryota; Fungi; Glomeromycota; Glomeromycetes; Glomerales; Glomeraceae.